CCUACGGGGGGCUGCAGUGGGGAAUAUUGGACAAUGGGGGGAACCCUGAUCCAGCCAUGCCGCGUGUGUGAAGAAGGCCCUCGGGUUUUAAAGCACUUUCAGUGAGGAAGAACGCCUGGUGGUUAAUACCCAUCAGGAAAGACAUCACUCACAGAAGAAGCACCGGCUAACUCCGUGCCAGCAGCCGCGGUAAUACGGAGGGUGCGAGCGUUAAUCGGAAUUACUGGGCGUAAAGCGCGCGUAGGUGGCUUGAUAAGCCGGUUGUGAAAGCCCCGGGCUCAACCUGGGAACGGCAUCCGGAACUGUCAAGCUAGAGUGCAGGAGAGGAAGGUAGAAUUCCCGGUGUAGCGGUGAAAUGCGUAGAGAUCGGGAGGAAUACCAGUGGCGAAGGCGGCCUUCUGGACUGACACUGACACUGAGGUGCGAAAGCGUGGGUAGCAAACAGGAUUAGAUACCCUUGUAGUC
Molecule: ribosomal RNA, 465 nt
Filed under: Vreelandella stevensii
Lineage: Bacteria; Pseudomonadati; Pseudomonadota; Gammaproteobacteria; Oceanospirillales; Halomonadaceae
Description: partial 16S ribosomal RNA
Rfam family: Bacterial small subunit ribosomal RNA
Source: RNAcentral